CCUACGGGGGGCAGCAGUGAGGAAUAGUGGUCAAUGGGAGAGAUCCUGAACCAGCCAAGCCGCGUGAGGGAAGACGGCCCUAUGGGUUGUAAACCUCUUUUGUCGGAGAACAAAACCCGGGACGUGUCCCGGACUGCGUGUAGCCGAAGAAAAAGCAUCGGCUUACUCCGUGCCAGCAGCCGCGGUAAUACGGAGGAUGCGAGCGUUAUCCGGAUUUAUUGGGUUUCAAGGGUGCGUAGGCGGUCCGGUAAGUCAGCGGUAAAAGUGCGGGGCUCAACCCCGGCGAGCCGUUGACACUGGCAGACUUGACUUGGCGAGACGUACGCGGCAUGCGCGGUGUAGCGGUGAACUGCUUAGCUAUCGCGC
Molecule: ribosomal RNA, 366 nt
Filed under: uncultured bacterium
Lineage: Bacteria
Description: partial 16S ribosomal RNA
Rfam family: Bacterial small subunit ribosomal RNA
Source: RNAcentral